Molecule: long non-coding RNA, 275 nt
Filed under: Elaeis guineensis (African oil palm)
Lineage: Eukaryota; Viridiplantae; Streptophyta; Magnoliopsida; Arecales; Arecaceae
Description: long non-coding RNA (EGUI_LNC061618)
Source: RNAcentral
GAUAUGGUGGAAUAUAUAUGGAGGUUGUGAGUAGGUCAACAUAGAAUCGAUCACUCCUGAUAAGAGGAGAUCAUAUUUCACUUACUCUGAUUGAUUGAUAAUUGCCUUUGAUCAAAGAAGGAUGAAAAUUAAAAAGAGUUUUUAAUAUUUCAUUAAUCGAAUCAUUAUUAAAGAUUAAGAGAAAUAUGAAUAUGAUAUUGGAUUUGACAUCAUUCCAUAUCCAGAGUUAUUUUUGGGAUGUUGGGAGAUCGAAGGAUCGAAUUACAUGGUAACUU